CCAGCUUCCCCGUGCCGGCCAUUUGAAGGCUGUCACAGGGAUAAUUAUAGCCCCCAAACAGAGCUGGUGACUCCAGGUAGCCAUGGCAACGGUUGGGUACCACCAGCUCUGUUGUAGAGAUGUGUAAGUACAAACAGACGGCAGUUUCCUCCCAUUAGCUUAAAUGGUAAAACUUAAAAGUUUCAUCAACUUCAAAGCCACAGGUCUCCACGAGCCUGCCUGUUAAUGGGGCACCUGCCAAGGGCGACAGCUUCAUAUUAAACACUUUCGCAUCAGGAAUGAGCUGAUGAGGUUUUAAACACUCAGGCUGUGUCCAACAACUUGGGAGCCUGGAGACGGGAGAAGAGCUGGGGAUGCGGGUUUGGGUUCCAGCUCCGCCGAUUACCAGCCCUGGGUGGCGGGGGUGUGACCUCUCCAAGUCUUCGUUUCCUUACAGCCCAGAGGAGUAAAAAGCAGCCCCACCCUGUGGCCCCUCAGGUUGGUCUGAGGGUCCCAGGAGGCACAGGCAGGAGCGCGUUGGAAAACGGCGUUGCCAGCGCUGUGGACAUAAAGCAGGACCUACUGGUGCUGAUGUUUCCGGGGGGGUGUUGUGAAGAUGUAAUCCUGCCCAAGGAGGCACGCUGUAGACUGCAAAGUCCUGUGUGGAUGGAAGGAAGGGCCUGCAUAUACCUUGAUCCUGGCACUAAAUAAAUUAUUGUAACUUUAUCCCUCUUGCUUAUCUCCCCAAGGAGACUGUGCGUUUCUUAAAUACAG
This 753-nucleotide long non-coding RNA is filed under the name Equus caballus (horse). RNAcentral's name for it is "lncRNA (ENSECAG00000052813.1)". The record is from RNAcentral. Lineage: Eukaryota; Metazoa; Chordata; Mammalia; Perissodactyla; Equidae.